Molecule: ribosomal RNA, 361 nt
Filed under: Salmonella enterica subsp. enterica serovar Havana
Lineage: Bacteria; Pseudomonadati; Pseudomonadota; Gammaproteobacteria; Enterobacterales; Enterobacteriaceae
Also listed under: 1 other name
Description: partial 23S ribosomal RNA
Rfam family: Bacterial large subunit ribosomal RNA
Source: RNAcentral
UGUUUCGGCUAGGGGGCCAUCCCGGCUUACCAACCCGAUGCAAACUGCGAAUACCGGAGAAUGUUAUCACGGGAGACACACGGCGGGUGCUAACGUCCGUCGUGAAGAGGGAAACAACCCAGACCGCCAGCUAAGGUCCCAAAGUCAUGGUUAAGUGGGAAACGAUGUGGGAAGGCCCAGACAGCCAGGAUGUUGGCUUAGAAGCAGCCAUCAUUUAAAGAAAGCGUAAUAGCUCACUGGUCGAGUCGGCCUGCGCGGAAGAUGUAACGGGGCUAAACCAUGCACCGAAGCUGCGGCAGCGACACUAUGUGUUGUUGGGUAGGGGAGCGUUCUGUAAGCCUGUGAAGGUGUGUCGUGAGGC